AUAUGUCCUGAAUUUCGACAAUAGAAUUUCCCCCGCGGGCAAGCUGAUGUGCCUGGCUCGUCAGAGCCAUCAGGGCAAUCACAGAAGUCAUCAUUGAGCUGAGCUUUGGUGAAUUUCUUGGAUCCAUCUUUACAUUUUAUCGUGUCUGAUGAUAUCUUGUAGUAAUUCUCAUCUUGAGGAGGGAUUCCAAGGAAUUGGUCUUUGGGGACGGCAGAUUUAGCAAUUGAAGGUAUACAAAAAACUCCCAGCACAAUACCAUAUAUCAAUAUCAAAGUAUCAACUUUCAUCUUCUGCUAAAUUAGUUGAAAAUUCACAAGAACAAAAUCAAUUACAGUAUCUAACAGCUCAUCACUGUUUAAGACCAAAUUCCUCAGCUACCCACUAAACUAAAAAACAGAGAGAAAUAAAGAUGGAGGGAGAAUCGGAGUGGGAGUG
Molecule: unclassified non-coding RNA, 435 nt
Filed under: Hevea brasiliensis (rubber tree)
Lineage: Eukaryota; Viridiplantae; Streptophyta; Magnoliopsida; Malpighiales; Euphorbiaceae
Source: RNAcentral